Long non-coding RNA from Mauremys mutica (yellowpond turtle), 511 nucleotides. RefSeq lists it as uncharacterized. Lineage: Eukaryota; Metazoa; Chordata; Testudines; Geoemydidae. The transcript is spliced from 3 exons. The record is from RefSeq and is a predicted model, not a curated record.
CCUUCAUUGAGAAAGCAGUUUGAUUUGUGCAUUGCUCUGAAUACAUUGCUACUUAUUCUCUCCAGCUAUUGAGAGUGAGAUUUAUUCCUCUUAUCACAGCACAGCAGGAGCGCAUGGUCCGUAAAGGACAGAGGACACAUUCAUCGUGACAACCCAAAAGUUAAAGAAGCAAUGAAGUAAGGAGGGAGAGAUGCACCCACGUACUGCAGAGGUACUAAGAGGACAACCCUUCAGGCUGACCAAAUGUAUACAAACAAGUCAGAUCACUUUGGUGACAGGAAUAUUCCAAAAGCAGUGCCUCCCAAUGCCCUGUUACAGUCUGGGCCUACAGGUAUCUGACUGCAACACGUCCAUCUAUUCUGGAAGAUGGAAUUUGCUGGUUCAUUAGUUCCAUUAUACGCAGAACACACAUCAAGAAUAGGCAUUUCAACUUAUUUCUUUACCCAUGAAGAGUUUAACCUACUUUAAAAGUGACCGCUUCUAAUAAAAUCUGGUUAUGACAAUUUAGCCC